This 253-nucleotide ribosomal RNA is filed under the name uncultured bacterium. RNAcentral describes it as "partial 16S ribosomal RNA". It matches the Rfam family "Bacterial small subunit ribosomal RNA", at positions 524 to 776 of the family's 1533-position model. The record is from RNAcentral.
GACGAAGGGGGCUAGCGUUGUUCGGAAUUACUGGGCGUAAAGCGCGUGUAGGCGGUCCGGUAAGUCCGCUGUGAAAGUCGGGGGCUCAACCCUCGGAUGCCGGUGGAUACUGUCGGGCUUGAGUACGGAAGAGGCGAGUGGAAUUCCUGGUGUAGCGGUGAAAUGCGCAGAUAUCAGGAGGAACACCAAUUGCGAAGGCAGCUCGCUGGGACGUUACUGACGCUGAGACGCGAAAGCGUGGGGAGCAAACAGG